Long non-coding RNA from Hipposideros armiger (great roundleaf bat), 2122 nucleotides. RefSeq lists it as uncharacterized. NCBI's taxonomy places the organism in Eukaryota, Metazoa, Chordata, Mammalia, Chiroptera, Hipposideridae. The transcript is spliced from 3 exons. The record is from RefSeq and is a predicted model, not a curated record.
ACGCCGCAUCUCCGCCCGGAGUGUAUCUAAGCGACUAGGUCCCGCGGGCCGCGGCUGCCGGGGGAGGGGACGUGGUUUAAGGCUCAAACCCACGGAUGGUCUCACCUCUGGAAACUCAGUGAGUCAGCCGGGGAGCUUUAAAACAACCUGCCGUGCAGACUUGCUGAUUUAAUUCACCUGGAGUGAGGCCCUGCAUUGAUUCAAGCUUCCCACGUGAUUCCAAAGUUGCGGGCUGAGUAGAGAAAGUCGUAAGAAGUUGACCUUGAAGUCCUGUCAUGGUUCCAUGCAGCGAAAGAGGACGCUAAUAAAAAUGAAAUUGCACCAGGAUAAAUGAAGAGUUGCAAAGAGAAGCUUGAAAAAGAACCAAAGAUAUCGUGACACCCUGGUCUAUAGCUGAAUGACAGAGAGAAAAUACCUAAAUAUCUGAAAGUAAAGCUCCAAUAGAACAGACAGAAGAUUCAUAUACUCAAGAAUAGUAGAUCAUGCAACAAAAUUCCUAAACUUAACACCCAGGACAGUUAAGAUCUAGAGAUGUGGGAGGCUGAAUAACGGCCCCAAAGACAUCCAGGUUCGUACAAGUACCUUCUAUGGCAAAAGAGACUUUGCAGGUGUGAAUAAGUUAAGGCUCCUGAGGAGACUAUCCUGGUAGACCCUAAAUGCAGUCACAAGUUUGCUUUUGAGGAAGACAGAGGAAGAUUUGACACAGAAAGAGGCAAUGUGAUUGUUGAAGCAAGAUGGUACUGUGCUGGCUUUGAAGAUGGAGGAAGAGGCCCUGAGUCAAGGAAUGCUGGGAAAGUCAAAGACACCGAUUUUUCUCUAGAGAAUCCAGAGGGAAUGUGGCCCGGAAGACACCUUAAUUUUGGCCCAGUUAAGCUGAUUUUACACUUCUGACCUCCAGAACCGUAAAACAUAGAAGUGUGUGGAUUUAGCCUACCACGUUUGUUGUAAUUUGGUACAACUGCCAUAGGAAACAAAUGCAAGACGUCUUCACUGUCCUGCCCAAGAUAAUGGGGCCAAGUUGAGGUAUAGAUGCACUGGAUCCCAUGUCUUUUGAUUCCUGUUUGAAGGAAAACAAGACCUACACUCCACUCUUCUAAUGCACACAUAUGUAUAAAAUUGAUAUAUGGCAAUAAGUGCUUUGUAGAAAAAUCAAACACCCUUGUCUUGAUUUGGGUUCUGGACAAGCGAGAAGAAACCAAAUCAGGAGAGAUGGGGUGACUAACUUGAGAUCCUACAGAUGGUUAUGGGCAGGUUCAUAACUGGAAUGCAAGAAUAUACUGAUUUCCCACCCAGUGUCCUUUCAUGCUGCAUGGAAUUAUUUUCAGUCCAGCAUUUGAGAGCCAACCAGAAAAGGAAAAGAGAGUCACUGCUGGGAUUGUAUAAGUAUUAAGAAGAUGGAUGGUGGUUUUGAAUGGGAAGGGUUAGGGGACUUUGAACUUUUCCAUAUAUGAAUAUGAGACAGUGGGAAAGGCGAAGUGGCAGGAGGGGGACUGGAGGCUCAUGCCAGGAGUUCAGACACGAGCCACACACAGCCAGGUGACCGUUUCCUGCCUCUCUGUUAUGAGAUGGCACUUAUCCUAGAUCCAAUGACAAGAGCCUCUCAUUUUGGGACUGAAGUGCUCCACCAGGUUUCUGUAUCCACAACAGACUUCUCCGCUCCCCACAAAAUGCCCCGUCCAUAGCGUCUCUCCUUCCUUUGGAACCAGAGUGGCACCUGUGGCCUCCUUAUUUUUAAUAAGUCCACCGAGGAGAGAAAGAGAAACAUUCCAAGAGAAGACAAUGCAAAAAAUAAACAAGAUUUUCCUCUUUCUAUGACUCAGAGAGAAUUCUCAAAGGAGAAUAUCCAAGGAUGUGUUUAUAUGCUACAGUGAAGAUUGGCUUUCCUUGUUUAUGAGAGGAAACAUAAAGGGUACCUACAGCCUUUUGUGUGAACGAGCUAACUUGUGCUGUUUAUUGUUUUUGCUUUUGCACUGCCUUUCUCAACUAUUAGAAUGGGACCUCUGGGCAGUAUCAUUGUCUUUCCCCUCCACAUAGCCACAGCACUUUAUAUGGUGAUUUGCAAAUAGUACAUGCAUAACAAAUGUUGGUUGCUAAUAAUAAAAUGUAAGUUUACAAUUUUUAU